Molecule: small nuclear RNA, 103 nt
Organism: Manis pentadactyla (Chinese pangolin)
Lineage: Eukaryota; Metazoa; Chordata; Mammalia; Pholidota; Manidae
Source: RefSeq, a predicted model, not a curated record
AUUCCAUCUUAGAAAAGAAAAAACAAGACAAACAAUACAGAGAAGAUUAGUAUGGCCCCUGUACAAGGAUGACAUACAAAUUCAUGAAAUCUUCCAUAUUUUU